AUUCCGGUUGAUCCUGCCGGAGGCCAUUGCUAUCGGAGUCCGAUUUAGCCAUGCUAGUUGCACGAGUUCACACUCGUAGCAUAUAGCUCAGUAACACGUGGUCAAGCUACCCUGCAGACACGGACAACCUCGGGAAACUGAGGCUAAUCCGCGAUACCGAUCCCACGCUGGAAUGCCGGGAUCCACAAACGCUCCGGCGCUGCAGGAUGCGGCUGCGGCCGAUUAGGUAGACGGUGGGGUAACGGCCCACCGUGCCGAUAAUCGGUACAGGUUGUGAGAGCAAGAGCCCGGAGACGGAAUCUGAGACAAGAUUCCGGGCCCUACGGGGCGCAGCAGGCGCGAAACCUUUACACUGCACGCAAGUGCGAUAAGGGGACUCCGAGUGCGAGGGCAUAUAGUCCUCGCUUUUGAGAACCGUAAGGCGGUUCUCGAAUAAGAGCUGGGCAAGACCGGUGCCAGCCGCCGCGGUAAUACCGGCAGCUCAAGUGAUGGCCAAUCUUAUUGGGCCUAAAGCGUCCGUAGCUGGCCACGAAAGUCCGUCGGGAAAUCCAUCUGCCCAACAGAUGGGCGUCCGGUGGACACGACUACAGUCCAACACGUGAGACUGAAAGGUCCGUCCGCGGUAGACUGAAAUCCGUAAUCCGUAGACGGACCGCCGAUGGCGAAAGCACGUCGAGAAGACCGGAUCCCGGCGUGAUGUUGACGUGGCAGGGUCUCGAACCGUUAGCGGGGAGUUUCGCACUUUCCGCCGUACCCACGCUUUGUCUCUUGGCCGCCAAAACACCUGACCUGCUCGUGGACGACGUGGCAGUCGAUGGGAAUGUACGCGCAGGGAUCGAGAACUUAAAGGAAUUGGCGGGGGAGCACCACAACCGGAGGAGCCUGCGGUUUAAUUGGACUCAACGCCGGACAUCUCACCAGCUCCGACUACAGUAAUGACGAUCAGGUUGAUGACCUUAUCACGAGCUGUAGAGAGGAGGUGCAUGGCCGCCGUCAGCUCGUACCGUGAGGCGUCCUGUUAAGUCAGGCAACGAGCGAGACCCACACAUCUAAUUGCCAGCAGCAGUUCCGACUGGCUGGGUACAUUAGAUGGACUGCCAGUGCCAAACUGGAGGAAGGAAUGGGCAACGGUAGGUCAGUAUGCCCCGAAUGAGCUGGGCUACACGCGGGCUACAAUGGCCAGAACAAUGGGUUGCAAUCUCGAAAGAGAACGCUAAUCUCCUAAAUCUGGUCGUAGUUCGGAUUGAGGGCUGAAACUCGCCCUCAUGAAGCUGGAUUCGGUAGUAAUCGCAUUUCACAAGAGUGCGGUGAAUACGUCCCUGCUCCUUGCACACACCGCCCGUCAAAGCACCCGAGUGAGGUCCGGAUGAGGCUAUCGCAAGAUAGUCGAAUCUGGGCUUCGCAAGGGGGCUUAAGUCGUAACAAGGUAGCCGUAGGGGAAUCUGCGGCUGGAUCACCUCCUAACGAACGG
This 1471-nucleotide ribosomal RNA is filed under the name Halogeometricum sp. wsp3. Its description in RNAcentral is "bacterial SSU rRNA". It matches the Rfam family "Archaeal small subunit ribosomal RNA". The record is from RNAcentral. Lineage: Archaea; Methanobacteriati; Methanobacteriota; Halobacteria; Halobacteriales; Haloferacaceae.